AUUUAAGCUUUGAAUGAGCUGUUGGAGCCUUGAAUGAAAUGCACUGCAUUUUGGUUCAGAUAUGGAAAAAACAGGAAGGAAGAUCUUCAGCAUGUGAAGAAAACUGAAAAGUAAAAAAGUAGCUGUAAUGACAAUAAGUUUUAAAAUGAGAAACUAUUUCUGCAUGGACUUGAAGUUCUUAUGCCUGUACAGGGCGUGCCCAGAGUAGAUGGAAGUAUUUCUUUAGAGGUACAUAAUGUGGAAGUGGUGAAGAUGAGCUGACACAUUAUUUCAUGCACGUGGAAUCUAGGACAUUACUGCAGAGCUCAUCUUUCUUAACACAAAAUGAUCUUCAGAAGACAAACCAGCCAGUGUCAGUGACUGAAGGUGAGCAUUACUAAUCCCUCUG
RNAcentral lists this long non-coding RNA (388 nucleotides) under Manacus vitellinus (golden-collared manakin). Its description in RNAcentral is "lncRNA (ENSMVIG00005001920.1)". The record is from RNAcentral. Lineage: Eukaryota; Metazoa; Chordata; Aves; Passeriformes; Pipridae.